RNAcentral lists this ribosomal RNA (393 nucleotides) under uncultured bacterium. RNAcentral describes it as "partial 16S ribosomal RNA". It matches the Rfam family "Bacterial small subunit ribosomal RNA", at positions 523 to 918 of the family's 1533-position model. The record is from RNAcentral.
AUACGGAGGAUGCGAGCGUUAUCCGGAUUUAUUGGGUUUAAAGGGAGUGUAGGUGGGAUAUUAAGUCAGCUGUGAAAGUUUGGGGCUCAACCUUAAAAUUGCAGUUGAUACUGGUUUCCUUGAGUACGGUACAGGUGGGCGGAAUUCGUGGUGUAGCGGUGAAAUGCUUAGAUAUCACGAAGAACUCCGAUUGCGAAGGCAGCUCACUGGACUGCAACUGACACUGAUGCUCGAAAGUGUGGGUAUCAAACAGGAUUAGAUACCCUGGUAGUCCACACAGUAAACGAUGAAUACUCGCUGUUUGCGAUAUACAGUAAGCGGCCAAGCGAAAGCAUUAAGUAUUCCACCUGGGGAGUACGCCGGCAACGGUGAAACUCAAAUGAAUUGGCGGGG